AGAAUAAAAUUUAGCUUAUAUAGGCAUGGUUGGAAAGACUCUACGUCAUCUAUGAAUAUAAUGUUUGUAUGUAUAUAUAAUAUUAUUGCAAUAAAGCAGUCUGAUUGCCAUCGCCUUCUUUAUUGCAAUAUGUGUUGAAACAAACACUAAUAAAUUUAGGUAGACUUAUUUCAAGGUCACUACUAACCCUCCAAAAUAAAUUAAUGUGACCCUCCUUGUUCAACUUUUCCCGCACUUUCUUGUCGGUCUUCUUUGCACAUCUGUAGUUUCAUCUACGACGAAGAGCCAAAACGCCGCCACAGUACAGAUGCUCUCGUCCGCUGUGAAGAUCCUUUCACAUUUCUCAGAAAACAAACAUAUCCUAACUCUUUUUGAAGUUUAGAGGAGUUCUAGGAAGAGUUUAAGGAUAUCAAUCAAGAGGAGCAGAUUUCAAGGGUGGUUAGGAUAAGUCGGAUGGGUGAAGCAAAUCUAGAAGCGGUUCUUCUUGCAUUGUGCUCAAAGCAAUUCAGCCAAGCAUAAGUGCCUGUGUCUUGUUUGCAGCUUAAUUUGGUUGCAAAGUAGAGUAAAAGACUGUGGAUAUUCUGAUUAUUUUUAAAUUUCAUCACCAAUGAAACAAGCUCUAACACUUUUCUUUUGUUUUCUAUGAAUCAGGGGUUUUUGAGAUAACCAGCAACUACUACAGAACAUCUGCACCUGAGUUGAAAGAGGAAAGAGCAAAGCCAUUGGAAGAGUGGCUGAACAUGGAAAGCAGUUUUGGUGAGAUUGAUGAUAUUAGUAUAGUCCAAGCAAAGCUGCCAAAAAGCUGAAAAAGAGGAGGCAGAUGGUGUCCGAGAUAUAAUUGUGUUCCAUUACAUUUUGUAAGCUUUCCUUGUUUGCCUGUGCUAACAAGUUUAAAUUGGCAGAUAUGAGGAAUACAUUGAUUACAUGUUCCUAGAGGAAACUCAGACGACUAAUCUUAGAAUAUUGGAAGCUGCAUAUAAGUGGAAGAAGCAAAAGAUUUCUGAUAAAGACUAGCAUGAUGUUUUUGUAGCUUAUGGCAAGUGACAAGCAAUUUGGGAGAGCCAUGUACAAGGAUUUUAAUAAUCCAACAUCACUUUUGUCCUCUUGAGCUUCUGAAGAUUUUAGUUUUACCAGGAUAUGGAUAUCUUCUUGGGAUAGUCAAUUGUUUGGCUCUGCAGCUUUGGUCCUAUGUCGUUUACAUAGGCCACCAUGUCCAUAUUAUAUCAAGAAUGGAAAAUCUGGAUCUGAAGACUUAAAACUAAGGAGAAGAGAAAGUGUUGCAAUAAGCAUGAUUUGCAACUAGGAAAGACUUGGCCCAGGGAAACAGGAAAAGGUAUUGGACAAAUGCUAUCACUUCGCAAUCCAAAAUCAGGUAUGUGCAACAAGAUUUAUUAACUCUUUUCUCUCUCUCCCUGCUCAUAUUAUCAGUUUUUUAGUUAACAAAUUUUUUUUAACAUAUUCUAGUCUUUGUCUGUAUUAGGUAUUGUUGAUCUGUAUUAUGAGUUUUGUUUUGUUUUGGAUUCUAGUCUCUAAUCAUCUUGAAACUUUUUAUGACUGUAAUUGAUUUGGAUUCUAUUUGUUUGUCUUUCCAGUAAUUUAAGCUAUAUAUAACUUUUUUUUUUUGGCCCGGUAUAGAUGGCCGCCAAUAUACUGCAACUACAGUUGAUCCUGAUUUUAUUUUUCUACCCAUUUUUGAGGAAGCUGGAAUGAAGCAAUAUUCAUUUGAAAUCAAUGCAAAAGAGAGAUAUCCAAGGAAGUUCAAGCAAUUGGAUGAGAUAUUCUUCGUUAGCAACUAUCCUGGAUAUCAACUUCUAUUGUCUAUCGCAAAGAAUUCUAGUUAAAAUAUUAAGUUCCUUUAGGUUAAUGUGAAAGUGUCUAUGUAGACUUUAAGAAUGAAAGAUUUAAUGAUUCGGAAAGCUAAUUGAAUUUUGUUUUAAUAUUUGUGUUUUGGUAUAAUAUAGAUUUUGUAAUAUGUGGUUAUAUAAAAUCUAUGUGCAUGGUUGUGUUUUAA
Long non-coding RNA from Quercus robur (English oak), 2011 nucleotides. RefSeq lists it as uncharacterized. The record is from RefSeq and is a predicted model, not a curated record. The transcript is spliced from 5 exons. Lineage: Eukaryota; Viridiplantae; Streptophyta; Magnoliopsida; Fagales; Fagaceae.